AUUGAACGCUGGCGGCAUGCCUUACACAUGCAAGUCGAACGGCAGCACGGGAGCAAUCCUGGUGGCGAGUGGCGAACGGGUGAGUAAUAUAUCGGAACGUGCCCAGUAAUGGGGGAUAGCCCGGCGAAAGCCGGAUUAAUACCGCAUACGACCUACGGGUGAAAGCGGGGGAUCGCAAGACCUCGCGUUAUUGGAGCGGCCGAUAUCAGAUUAGCUUGUUGGCGGGGUAAAAGCCCACCAAGGCGACGAUCUGUAGCUGGUCUGAGAGGACGACCAGCCACACUGGGACUGAGACACGGCCCAGACUCCUACGGGAGGCAGCAGUGGGGAAUUUUGGACAAUGGGCGCAAGCCUGAUCCAGCCAUGCCGUGUGUGUGAAGAAGGCCUUGGUUGGUAAAGUACACUUAAGUGGGUAGGGAAGGACGUCGUACGU
Molecule: ribosomal RNA, 433 nt
Filed under: uncultured bacterium
Lineage: Bacteria
Description: bacterial SSU rRNA
Rfam family: Bacterial small subunit ribosomal RNA
Source: RNAcentral